This 72-nucleotide transfer RNA is filed under the name Bos taurus (domestic cattle). It matches the Rfam family "tRNA". From Rfam's summary of the family: Transfer RNA (tRNA) molecules are approximately 80 nucleotides in length. Lineage: Eukaryota; Metazoa; Chordata; Mammalia; Artiodactyla; Bovidae. RNAcentral also lists the same sequence under 4 other names. The record is from Rfam by way of RNAcentral.
CCCUUUGUAGCUCAGUCAGUAAAGAAUCUGCCUGCAAUGCAGGAGACCCAGGUUCAAUCCCUGGGUCAGGAA